AGUUUGAUCAUGGCUCAGAACGACGCUGGCGGCAUGCCUAACACAUGCAAGUCGAACGAAGCCUUCGGGCUUAGUGGCGCACGGGUGCGUAACACGUGGGAAUCUGCCCUUCGGUUCGGAAUAACAGUUAGAAAUGACUGCUAAUACCGGAUGAUGACGUAAGUCCAAAGAUUUAUCGCCGAAGGAUGAGCCCGCGUAGGAUUAGGUAGUUGGUAGGGUAAUGGCCUACCAAGCCGAUGAUCCUUAGCUGGUCUGAGAGGAUGAUCAGCCACACUGGGACUGAGACACGGCCCAGACUCCUACGGGAGGCAGCAGUGGGGAAUAUUGGACAAUGGGCGAAAGCCUGAUCCAGCAAUGCCGCGUGAGUGAUGAAGGCCUUAGGGUUGUAAAGCUCUUUUACCAGGGAUGAUAAUGACAGUACCUGGAGAAUAAGCUCCGGCUAACUCCGUG
This 450-nucleotide ribosomal RNA is filed under the name uncultured bacterium. RNAcentral's name for it is "bacterial SSU rRNA". It matches the Rfam family "Bacterial small subunit ribosomal RNA", at positions 10 to 507 of the family's 1533-position model. The record is from RNAcentral.